GUCUCCUCCCCUGCCCGGGGGAGUAGAGAAGGAUUGGACAGCAGCACGGCAGUCCGGAAGGUCACACAAAACUUAUUUCAAGGACUGGAGCUCUCCUCUUGAAUAUGGAAUAAGAAAUGGACCUUAGCAACUAUUGUUGGUGACUGUAAUGAAACUGGUUGGAAUGAAAUAAACCCACAGAAAUCUGUCCUGUGCAGUUCAGCCUAGCCUGGCCUGUAAACAGUCUCUGCCUGCAGCAGAUGCUUCUGCUUUAGACUUAAGGCAGAUAAAACUACAGUAGAGAACAAACUCUUUUUGUUAUCAGCAAAUUCUUGGUCAUCAGUGAGCACAGACAGAAGCAGGAGGACUCCUCUUAUGAAACCUAUCAGCACCUGAAUGAUAUACAGAAUGCAGAAAGAAUGUAUUAAAUGAAGCUGGAAUAUUUCCUUAAAGGAAAGAAAGGCUUGUAAAGCUCUCAAUACACGAUAAACAUGAUAAAAGCCAAUCACAUAAUUAUGAAAACAGAGCUUGCUUGAUACUUCCUUCACAUUAUGAAUAAUCCAAGCAGCAGCACACAAAGCACUGUCUUGGCAAUGCCCUCUCUUGUUCAUGGGAAAACUGCAGGAGGAAGUAGCUGCAGACUUUUGUAUCUGACUGACACAGGGCAAAUAUUUCUUGCCAGAGUAGCCUAAGGGUUGAACAGAGUUUUGACAGUAGAAUGCAACUACAUGACUUGCAUAUCAAAAUUCCAAGCAGUUAAAAGGAUCUGAAGUUUUAUGAAGAACAGAACAGACCGUGCCAGGUUUUUUUAAUGACAAUGGAAAGCUCGUAAUACUCCAACAGGUUUCUUUUGGCUUAAUGGGAACUAAGCAGAAGCAAGCACUGCAGAGGCAGGUUUGUGCAACUGCAAAGACUUUGUCUAAUUGCAAAGACUGUGUAAUUUCUGCCAGGCAGAUGAGAACUAAAAAAAAGAGUACCUAUAAAACAAAAAUAA
This is a long non-coding RNA of Passer domesticus (house sparrow), 973 nucleotides long. RefSeq lists it as uncharacterized. Lineage: Eukaryota; Metazoa; Chordata; Aves; Passeriformes; Passeridae. The transcript has 7 exons. The record is from RefSeq and is a predicted model, not a curated record.